AAGACCGGUGCCAGCCGCCGCGGUAAUACCGGCAGCUCGAGUGAUGUCCAAUUUUAUUGGGCCUAAAGCGUCCGUAGCUGGCCAGCCAAGUUCGUCGGGAAAUCCACCUGCCCAACAGGUGGGCGUCCGGCGAAAACUGUCUGGCUUGGAACCGGAAGGCUCAGAGGGUACGUCUGGGGUAGGAGUGAAAUCCUGUAAUCCCAGACGGACCACCGAUGGCGAAAGCACUCUGAGAAGACGGAUUCGACAGUGAGGGACGAAAGCUAGGGUCUCGAACCGGAUUAGAUACCCGGGUAGUCCUAGCUGUAAACGAUGCUCGUAAGGUGUGGCACCCACUACGAGUGGGUGCUGUGUCGUAGGGAAGCCGCUAAACGA
This 375-nucleotide ribosomal RNA is filed under the name uncultured haloarchaeon. RNAcentral describes it as "bacterial SSU rRNA". It matches the Rfam family "Archaeal small subunit ribosomal RNA", at positions 448 to 822 of the family's 1478-position model. The record is from RNAcentral. Lineage: Archaea; Methanobacteriati; Methanobacteriota; Halobacteria; Halobacteriales; Halobacteriaceae.